UACGUAGGGUGCAAGCAUUAAUCGGAUUUAUUGGGCGUAAAGGGCGCGUAGGCGGAAUUGUAAGUCAGAUGUGAAAUCCCGGAGCUUAACUCCGGAACGGCAUUUGAUACUGCUUUUCUAGAGGAUAGACGGAGAAAACGGAAUUCCACAAGUAGCGGUGAAAUGCGUAGAUAUGUGGAAGAACACCUGUGGCGAAAGCGGUUUUCUAGUUUAUUCCUGACGCUGAUGCGCGAAAGCUAGGGGAGCAAACAGG
Molecule: ribosomal RNA, 253 nt
Filed under: uncultured bacterium
Lineage: Bacteria
Description: partial 16S ribosomal RNA
Rfam family: Bacterial small subunit ribosomal RNA
Source: RNAcentral